GACGUAGGGUGCGAGCGUUGUCCGGAUUUAUUGGGCGUAAAGAGCUCGUAGGCGGCUUGUCGCGUCGACCGUGAAAACUUGGGGCUCAACCCCAAGCCUGCGGUCGAUACGGGCAGGCUAGAGUUCGGUAGGGGAGACUGGAAUUCAUGGUGUAGCAGUGAAAUGCGUAGAGAUCAUGAGGAAGACCAGUGGCGAAGGCGGGUCUCUGGACAGUUCCUGACACUGAGACACGAAGGCCAGGGGAGCAAACGGG
RNAcentral lists this ribosomal RNA (253 nucleotides) under uncultured bacterium. RNAcentral describes it as "partial 16S ribosomal RNA". It matches the Rfam family "Bacterial small subunit ribosomal RNA", at positions 524 to 776 of the family's 1533-position model. The record is from RNAcentral.